Molecule: ribosomal RNA, 497 nt
Filed under: uncultured bacterium
Lineage: Bacteria
Description: partial 16S ribosomal RNA
Rfam family: Bacterial small subunit ribosomal RNA
Source: RNAcentral
GACGAACGCUGGCGGCGUGCCUAAUACAUGCAAGUAGAACGCUGAAGAGAGGAGCUUACUCUUCUUGGAUGAGUUGCGAACGGGUGAGUAACGCGUAGGUAACCUGCCUUGUAGCGGGGGAUAACUAUUGGAAACGAUAGCUAAUACCGCAUAACAAUGGAUGGCACAUGUCAUUUAUUUGAAAGGGGCAAUUGCUCCACUACAAGAUGGACCUGCGUUGUAUUAGCUAGUAGGUGAGGUAAUGGCUCACCUAGGCGACGAUACAUAGCCGACCUGAGAGGGUGAUCGGCCACACUGGGACUGAGACACGGCCCAGACUCCUACGGGAGGCAGCAGUAGGGAAUCUUCGGCAAUGGGGGCAACCCUGACCGAGCAACGCCGCGUGAGUGAAGAAGGUUUUCGGAUCGUAAAGCUCUGUUGUAAGUCAAGAACGGGUGUGAGAGUGGAAAGUUCACACUGUGACGGUAGCUUACCAGAAAGGGACGGCUAACUACGUG